GAGGCUUCCUGCGGGCACCGGCGCGCUCGGCCUCCGCUCCUGGGCGCUGCAGUUCUCCCUCUCCUUGCCAGCCCAGAGAUAAAUAGACGGCCAGAAAGAAAAGAAAAAGAGAAAACAUCUCUAGAGCUCUGCGCGGGGAGGGCAGUGGCCGCGGCAGCUGUGGUUUCUGAUAGCUAACACCUCAGCAUUACAAUUCUGUUUUCCAUAAACUUCUGUGCAGAAAUCUGGGGAAUUCAAAAGAACUGGGGAGUGCUGAUCUCCCUGGAGUCUGAAGCCUGGAGAAACCAUCCAGAAGGCUGAAGCUAUUCAUCUCAAAGGAGCAGAUGUUGUCCCUCCCCAAGGAGUUAUUAUGGGUUGGAAGAAAUGAGAAAAUGAAUAUAAACAAGUUAUUCUGUGAAUGUUAUCAAAUAUGAUCAGCACCAACCAAAUAGAGCUCUAAAUGAGUAAGUAUUCUUUACUGAUAGAAGCAAAAGCAAAUGAACAUUAUACUUUUCUAAAUACAUUCAGAAGCAAAUAAUUUGAGCAAAAGCACAGACCUAAUUGGGUCAUAUAUGAUAGCAUGGGAAAACCGUCCUGGAGAAGUAGAAAGUGUGUUGCUAGGUCAGCUUAGCUGGUUGUCAUCCAUCAACUCUACCCCCUAGCCAUGGCUUUGCAGACUUCUCUAGAAGGCUUUCUCCUUUCCCAGGUGGCUAGGCAGAGUCACAGAGACAGUGAUCUAAUGUCCCUUAGGAUGCUUAUGGGACCUGUUUCUAUGGGUGCAAAGCCAAUCAAGGAUAGGACUGGAGAGGAACCAAAAUGCUUUCCUGCUGAGCUGUCUGCUAGAUCCUGGUAUUUUCAAUCAGCUAGCAUGGGGUUUCUUGCUGUUUUAGGACAAUCGAUUUACCUUAUGGCUAAAUUUCAGGAAAGGAACCAUUCCAGCAGAUAGCGACCACAGAAGUGGUAGCCUGAUGAAAAAGAAUAAUUUUGGGUGUUGUAUAAAUGUAAAAACCAUGAAGUUUUUUAAAAAUAAAAAAAAUUCACUUGCAUACACUCUCUUUGAAAAGUUAGUGGGCAGCUAUUUGCUAGCUGAAACAGAAACACUUGAUUAUGUUGUGGAUGAGUAGGGAAAACGUCGUGCUGGAGGUGGAUUUGGAGCUGACAAUAAAGGAUGAAUGAGGAUCAAUAGUCUGAGAAUGAAAGGGGAAGACAGACAUUCCCUGUUGAAUAAAGGGCACCAUGAAAGUCACAGGGUGUAACAAUGUAUAUAUGUUUCAGGAAAAAGCAAAUGGACUCAAUGUGGUUGAAAUGUGGAGAGGAUUUUGAGAGAUGAAGCUUGAAAUAUAGUUGACCCUUGAACAAGGUGGGUUUGAACUGCAGGUGUCCACAUAUGCACAGAUUUUUUUCAACCAAACAUGUUGAAAAAUACAGAAUUCAUGGGAUGCUAAGCCCACAUAUACUGAGGGCUGACUUUCCCUAUCUACCUUCCACAGAGUAUGCACAGGUAUACAUGGGAGUCCUGGAAUCAAUCCCCUGCAUGUACUGAAGGAUGACUGUGUAUGUUUCUUUUAACCUAAACUUCCUGUACUAACUCUGCCUUUGUAUAUUUCCAGAUUCCUCCUGCCCCAGAAAACUAGAUAUGUACUUAAGAGAGAAAAGAAAUAAGCUUGAAAUAUUUUAGCAGUUACCAUAGAGAAUAAGAAAAAAAAUUCAUAUUAUAUGCAAGGAAAGUCAAGCAU
Molecule: long non-coding RNA, 1715 nt
Organism: Homo sapiens (human)
Lineage: Eukaryota; Metazoa; Chordata; Mammalia; Primates; Hominidae
Source: Ensembl